GUGGCGAACGGGUGAGUAACACGUGAGCAAUCUGCCCUUGACUCUGGGAUAACUGCGGGAAACUGUAGCUAAUACCGGAUACUUUCCUCGCUGGGCAUCCAGCAGGGAAGAAAGAAUUUCGGUCAAGGAUGAGCUCGCGGCCUAUCAGCUAGUUGGUGAGGUAAAGGCUCACCAAGGCGACGACGGGUAGCCGGCCUGAGAGGGUGACCGGCCACACUGGAACUGAGACACGGUCCAGACUCCUACGGGAGGCAGCAGUGGGGAAUAUUGCACAAUGGGCGAAAGCCUGAUGCAGCAACGCCGCGUGAGGGAUGAAGGCCUUCGGGUUGUAAACCUCUUUUAGCAGGGAAGAAGCGAAAGUGACGGUACCUGCAGAAAAAGCACCGACUAACUACGUGCCAGCAGCCGCGGUAAUACGUAGGGUGCAAGCGUUGUCCGGAAUUAUUGGGCGUAAAGAGCUCGUAGGCGGUUUGUCACGUCUGCUGUGAAAAUCCGAGGCUCAACCUCGGACUUGCAGUGGGUACGGGCAGGCUAGAGUGCGGUAGGGGAGAAGGGAAUUCCUGGUGUAGCGGUGGAAUGCGCAGAUAUCAGGAGGAACACCAAUGGCGAAGGCACUUCUCUGGGCCGUAACUGACGCUGAGGAGCGAAAGCGUGGGGAGCGAACAGGAUUAGAUACCCUGGUAGUCCAC
RNAcentral lists this ribosomal RNA (689 nucleotides) under uncultured Microbacteriaceae bacterium. RNAcentral describes it as "bacterial SSU rRNA". It matches the Rfam family "Bacterial small subunit ribosomal RNA", at positions 95 to 798 of the family's 1533-position model. Lineage: Bacteria; Bacillati; Actinomycetota; Actinomycetes; Micrococcales; Microbacteriaceae. The record is from RNAcentral.